This 468-nucleotide ribosomal RNA is filed under the name uncultured bacterium. RNAcentral's name for it is "partial 16S ribosomal RNA". It matches the Rfam family "Bacterial small subunit ribosomal RNA", at positions 28 to 507 of the family's 1533-position model. The record is from RNAcentral.
GACGAACGCUGGCGGCGUGCUUAACACAUGCAAGUCGAACGGAAAGGCCCUGCUUUUGUGGGGUGCUCGAGUGGCGAACGGGUGAGUAACACGUGAGUAACCUGCCCUUGACUUUGGGAUAACUUCAGGAAACUGGGGCUAAUAUCGGAUAGGAGCUCCUGCUGCAUGGUGGGGGUUGGAAAGUUUCGGCGGUUGGGGAUGGGCUCGCGGCUUAUCAGCUUGUUGGUGGGGUAGUGGCUUACCAAGGCUUUGACGGGUAGCCGGCCUGAGAGGGUGACCGGCCACAUUGGGACUGAGAUACGGCCCAGACUCCUACGGGAGGCAGCAGUGGGGAAUAUUGCACAAUGGGCGGAAGCCUGAUGCAGCAACGCCGCGUGCGGGAUGACGGCCUUCGGGUUGUAAACCGCUUUCGCCUGUGACGAAGCGUGAGUGACGGUAAUGGGUAAAGAAGCACCGGCUAACUACGUG